This 497-nucleotide ribosomal RNA is filed under the name uncultured bacterium. Its description in RNAcentral is "partial 16S ribosomal RNA". It matches the Rfam family "Bacterial small subunit ribosomal RNA", at positions 28 to 507 of the family's 1533-position model. The record is from RNAcentral.
GAUGAACGCUGGCGGCGUGCCUAAUACAUGCAAGUCGAGCGAACAGAUGAGGAGCUUGCUCCUCUGACGUUAGCGGCGGACGGGUGAGUAACACGUGGAUAACCUACCUAUAAGACUGGUAUAACUUCGGGACACCGGAGCUAAUCCCGUAUAAUAUAUUGAACCGCAUGGUUCAAUAGUGAAAGACGGUUUUGCUGUCACUUCUAGAUGGAUCCGCGCCGCAUUAGCUAGUUGGUAAGGUAACGGCUUACCAAGGCAACGAUGCGUAGCCGACCUGAGAGGGUGAUCGGCCACACUGGAACUGAGACACGGUCCAUACGCCUACGGGAGGCAGCAGUAGGGAAUCUGCCGCAAUGGGCGAAAGCCUGACGGAGCAACGCCGCGUGAGUGAUGAAGGUCUUCCGAUCGUAAAACUCUGUUAUUAGGGAAGAACAAAUGUGUAAGUAACUAUGCACGUCUUGACGGUACCUAAUCAGAAAGCCACGGCUAACUACGUG